AGAGGAAGCACUUACAAAGGAUUUCACAUUCAAGGUUGGAAUGGAAUUUUCAUCUCUGGAGAAAUUUAAGAAUGUUAUACUAGAACACAAUGUCUUGAAUAGUAGGAAGUUAAGAUUUUCCAAAACAAUUAUACCAAUAGGUGUAGGAUUGUUUGUAAGAAUGAAAAGCGGUGUAACUACAUUUUGCUAUGCAAAAGGGUUUUAAUAACUGCAACAUAUAAGUCGAGACUUUGUUUCACAGACACAAAUAUGGGAGAUAAUUCUUCAAUAAGAAUGUCAAGGUUGAUUGGAUUUCUAAAACGAUUGUAGAAAAGUUAAAUAACAAUAUUAUGACACUGAAAACACAUGGAGUUGUGGGACCUAGGAAGCAUGUAUAGGAUCCAGUUGUGAUUCCUGAAGAAGAAGACACAGUUGGUGGCAGUGCUAAGAGAAACAAGACUUGGGAUGAAAUUCAAAAGAGCAUGUCUCAAUGAUUUUUUAUCAUGAAUUAUGUAUCUCUUUUCGGGUUUUCACUAUGUUUUUAACCUAAUGAUUAUGUAUCAUCCUGACUUAUCUUAUUGUCGUACCUUAAAAAACGAGAACACUACCUCGUGAAGCACAAUUACACACUCACAGAAUGGACUAACAGAGUCGCCGUCAAACUUUAUUUAUUUCCAAAGAGGGGAAGGGAAAAUACUGAUAAAAUAACGACAAGGAUAUGGUCAUCGCAAGUAAAUCAAGGUUAAGGAAUUGAGUGCACAAGGGGAAGGUAUUAGCAUCCCUCAUGUCCAUUGUACUCAACAUGAGCCAUUUAGUUAGUUGUGCAUGUUAGUGUUAGCUUUUUAAAUGUUAUGCUUCUCGAGUUAUUAAAAAUAGAAUAAGACAAAACGAAUUUUUUAUUUAUUUAGGGUGCCUGAAGAGAUUUUUAAUCUCGCUCCUACGUAUCUUCGGGUAUGAUGGAUAACUCAAGGUUACGUAGUUCUGGGUAGAAAAUGUUUCUUUGUUGGUUGAUUUUAGAAAAAACUAUUUUGUCUCAAUCAAUGGAAACACAUUACUUGCUAGCCAAAACAUGCGAGGAGAAGGAGUUUGCAUUACAUUGAAUGGAUUUCUACAUAUCGACAUUCACGGGAAAACAUCACUUAUCUUAACUCACACAUUUGUGAAUGAAGCAUUGUUUUGAAUCGUCUCGAGGCGAAAACAUCUUUCAUUUAUGAAAAGGUUUGAAGAUCGUGCGGAGGCAAGAAAAAAGUUUGAUGUAUUUUGAGUGAUGUGAGUGCUUGGAUGGGAGAGAUAUCCAUCUCGUAUCUUAGACUCUAGAGCUCGUGGUAUCCACCAUGUUCCUUUUCCAUCUUAUUUGCAAAAUGAUUUGAUAUUUUUAGAUGUUUUGAGAUUUUUGAUUGAGAAACGGUUUGAAAAAGUUGCAAUGAAAUUUUUGAGUGAUUGUGAGAACUCAAAUGGGCGAGAUAUCCAUCUCUUAUCCUAGCCUUUAGAGCUCGUGGUAUACGCCCUGCUCAUUUUUCAUAUUUAUUGAAAAGUGUUUAGUAAGAAAUAAGUGUUUUGAUUUUCUUUUGGAAAAAUGAAUUUGACGUUGGAUCAAACAUUUGAUUAACGUUUGGGAAAUGGUUGUAAAAUUAUUUGAAUUGAGAAUGAGAUGGUUUGAAAUUAUUGAGGGUGAAAUGAAUUUGAAAUUGAAUGGUGGAAGCUUGGUGUUGGGAAAAUGUUUUUGAAAAUGGAACUUGGUGUUGACUAAGUAUUUUUAUUGUUUUGAAAGAUUGAUUUUACAUUUUGUGCUAUUAUUUAUUUAGUUCAUUUUAACUAACUAAGAGCAAUGGAAAUAAAAGCGAGAAAAUAAAUACAAAUUACAAACAAGGGAUGGGGUACAUUUUGUCAAAUGGGGAUAUAAUAAAGCGAUUAAAAAGUAAGUUCGUCAAACAAGUAAAUGCAAACACCAAAAAGGAAACUCAUUGUUAGAAGGCAAAAAAGUAAGUCAUGGGACCGGAAAAUACGCGAAAUCAAAAGCAAACUAAAUUUAGCACUAUGUGACACUAACUUAAAAUGACUUAAUGUAGGAAUCACUCUAUAAAAAGUCGGUCAACAAAAUCUAUGCGUCCAAGCGAAUUUCGGAAGUUAAAUUGGAUUUUAACUUCGAAAUCGCAAAGCAAUGAAAUCAAUGCAACAAUUAAUCAAAUAAUCUAUUUAAAAAAUUAAUUAAUUAAUUAAACCAAAAAUAACUAAUAAAUUAAUACUCUCUCAGGUUCUUUUUAAGUGUAAUUUUUUAAUUUUUUUACCGGUAUUAAGAAAGUUAAUCAUUAUUGUUACUUUUCAAACAAUAAUUCUUCUUUUACCUAUAAUAUCCUUAACUAUUUAUUACAUUUAUUUUACUUUUUUCCUCUGUGUAAUAAUUAUUUAGGGACAAUUUUGAUAAAAGUGCAAUUAAUAUUAUCUUGAACUUUAUAAGUGAUAAUUAAAAAGAAACAUUUUUUUCAAAAAAGUGACACUUAUAAAGGAAUAAAGGGAAUAAAUAAUUAAUUAAUUAAUUACCGAUUUAGAAAAUAAUCAAGAGAUAAAAAAUAAAAAACAAAUCUAAAUUUAAAAAAAAAAGUGGUGAAUGAAAAAAAUGGGCAGGGUGCAGAAAUCAAAAUAGUUUUGGGCCCAAUACACCAAAACACUAAAACCUCAAUUAAAACUAAAAAUAAAUAAAAAUAAAAAUAAAAAUAAAUAACAAUAAACAAGAGAAAAAGAAAAUGUUCUGCUAGAGAUGUAGUAGUGGAUAGAGGUUAAUGGCAUGAUAGAAGAAAAAAAACGAGAUGAAGUUCUUUACAUGAAUCAUAGAAUGAAAGUAACUAGUGUGUUUGAAAAAUGGUAAGGUAAGGUUAUGAGAAAGAAGAAAAGAUAUUGGUGAAAACAUGAGGUCACUAUAAAGAACAAAAUGACUUUUGAAUCAAGAAGAUUUUUUUUCCUUUGUUUCUACUUGGCUUUUGUUUUGGAAUACUGAGUGAGAAAUGAAGAUUCAUGAGUUAUAUAACCAUUCUAUUAGACUGCUUUGGCUAGAUGAAUUUGAUUUCUCCUUUUUGAAUGUGUGAGAAAGAAUGAAGUUAUGGGUGAUUCAGUAUAUGAGUUGAGAGAAACGAGUAUAUUGCAGCUUUUUGAUAAUAUCUCUCUUGCCUUCUUUUCUAAAAUCCGUUAUUUGAAAUGUGAAAGCCCAUCUUCAACAAGUGUAGCGCCUCGUUUGAUUUUUUCUUUCUUUCAGCAACAUAACUUUAUUUAUUGGUGUAUCAUUAGAGUUACAUAAUAUUAGCAUACCUAUAAAAUGCCUCUAAUGAAUGUUAUUAGUGUGAAAAUGGUUUUUAAAAAACUAAAUUAACUUAUUUUAAAUCAAAAUUGAAUCGAGAUAACAACACAAAACAUUCUAAUUAAUUAUUAAAGAUACUUUGAUAAAUAAAUAAAAAUAAAAGGAUUCAAAAUAAAUAAAAAUCAAACGUAAAAAUAUACAAAAAAUUAAAUUGAAUGCACCAAAAUGAUCAACGCAAAAUAAAAUUUAAAAAAAUAUAUAGGUUUCGAUCAAAUUUUAAAACAAAAAAUGAUCGGUUAAACGGCUCAGGCUGAUCAAACUGCGAUCGAAAAAAUAAAACGAGCACACCAUAUUACAUUAUACGAAUCAUAGAUUAAUAAAACUCACGUCCGCUAAUUUCACGUACAUUGAGAAUCAGUUUAAUUUAUUUUGGUAGAUAUUUUAUGCAUUAUGCGAUAUGAAAUGGAUAUUAUGACAUAUAAAUUAUACAAAUAUCAUGAUGUAUGUAUUAAUUUAUUGAAUGAAGGACAAAAUUGGGAUAUGACAAUUAUAUAUUGUAAUGAAUUGUGUAUUCUUUUGUUUACUUUGUUUGUAAUUUCUUUUGUGAAACUUUGUAGUAUCUUUUUUGUGAAACUUUGUACUAUAAAAACCUCUUUUGGUACAAGUUUAACAUAUGCUAAACUUGUCAUCAAUGUUAUCUAGUUUGGAACUAUGAAACAUCAGUGGUAUCUUUAAAUGUUAUCUAGUUUGUACUGUCAUAAAAGGAUUUUAGGAAAAAUGAUGGGUAAUUUUUGGGGUAUGACACCUACAUUGGUAGGACUUCAGACAACCAAGGAUCCAAGAGAAUUAUGGAGAGUUGAGUGAGAAUCGAAGAGAUGAAAUUUUCUAGAAAAUACCUUCAAUACAGGUCUGAAUUCAACUGUUCUUGCUUUGAUUCGUGGUUGAUCUUGCUCAUAACGCUUGGAGGAAUGGAUUAGAAUGAUCAAAAGGUCUUGGAUCCCCGGAGAUUUGAAUCUCAAAACAGUGAGAUUCAAACUCAAUCUCCAAUGGAAACACAUUAACACAUAUUUAUCACCUUCUUCAACAACUGACUUUUGAAUCAAGAAGAAUUUUUUUCCUUUAUUUCUACUUGACUUUUGUUUUGGAAUACUGGGUGAGAAAUGAAUAUUCAUGAGUUAUAUAACCAAUCUAUGAGAGUGCUUUGGCUAGAUGAAUUUGAUUUCUCCUUUUUGAAUGUGUGAGAGAGAAUGAAAUCCAUGUGAAGAGAGGAAGGUGAUUCAGUAUAUGAGUUGAGAGAAACGAGUAUAUUGCAGCUUUUUGAUAAUCUCUCUCUUGCCUUCUUUUCUGAAAUCCAUUAUUUAAAAUGUGAAAGCCCACAUCUUCAACAAGUGUAGCGCCUCGUUUGAUUUAUUUUUUUCAGCAACACAACUUUAUUUAUUGGUGUAUCAUUAGAGUUACAUAAUAUUAGCAUACGUAUAAAAUGCCUCUAAUGAGUGUUAUUAGUGUGAAAAUGGGUUUUAAAAAACUAAAUUAAAUUAUUUUAAAUCAAAAUUGAAUCGAGAUAACAACAUAAAACAUUCUAAUUAAUUAUUAUAGACAUUUUGAUAAAUAAAUAAAAAUAAAAGGAUUCAAAAUAAAUAAAAAUCAAACGUAAAAAUAUUCAAAAAGUUACAUUGAAUGCACCAAAAUGAUCAACGCAAAAUAAACGUCUCAAAAAUAUAUAGGUUUCGAUCAAAUUUCAAAAUAAAAGAUGAUCGGUUAAAAGGCUCAGGCUGAUCAAACUGCAGUCGAAAAAAUAAAACGAGCACACCAUGUCAAAUUAUACGAAUCGUAUAUUAAUAAAACUGACGUCUGCAAACUCGAUUUGAAAAAAAUGUGUCCGUUAAUUUCACAUACAUUGAGAAUCAGUUCAACAGAUAACUGUAGAUCCAAAAAUUUAUUUUGGUCGAUAUUUUAGGCAUAAUGCGAUAUGAAAUGGAUAUUAUGACAUAUAAAUUAUGCAAAUAUCAUGAUGAAUGUAUUAAUUUAUUGAAUGAGGGACAAAAUUGGAAUAUGAUAAUUAUGUAUUGUAAUGAAUUAUGUAUUCUUUUGUUUAUUUUGUUUGUAAUUUCUUUUGUGAAACUUUGUAGUAUCUCUUUUGAUACUAUAAAAACCUCUUUUGGUACAAGUUUAACAUAUGCUAAACUUGUCAUCAAUGUUAUCUAGUUUGGAACUAUGAAACAUCAGUGGUAUCUUUAAAUGUUAUCUAGUUUGUACUGUCAUAAAAGUUUCACAGGGAAAACCACAGUUUAAAUUAAAGUGUUAUUAUGAACAAUAAAAUCAAUCAUUAGUCAUUAGUUUAAGUGUUACUAUGUUAAAAUGAAGUGUUACUAUUCCAAUUUUUAUGUCAAAUAGAAAUGUUAAAUUUGUCAAAUAUUGAUAACCAUGAUAAUUGUUUAAUCAAAACCAACAUUUCAUUAACAAAUAAGAUUAAUAUAUAGAUUUCAAUACAUCUGUAAUUUCAACAUAACACCAACGAUAUAAUUCAAUGUCUCCUUCAACAAUUACAUUUCAAAAGAAAAUAAACAUCAAAGAUAAAAGAGAUUACAAACAUAAUUUAAAUUUCCAAACAAUUCUCUUAUUUAAGUUUGUUCUUCAAAUUUUUGUUCUUCUUCUUUGAAUCUUCAUACAUAAUCUUCAAGUAUCUCAUUCAACUCUUAGUUCAUAAUACUCUCAUCUUCAUUUUCAGUUUUUGUUCCAAAAUCUUCAUUGUCAUAUGAACAAAUCACAUGUCUCAUUACUCAUCCAAAAGGUAUAUCUCCAAAAAAAAAUCUUUCUUUAUUAGAUUCCUUUUUGUACCGGUACAAAACCAUACAAUCAUCACACCCACAAACAUUUCUAGAUAGAGAUUUUACAAAAGAAUAAGAGAUGGAAAUGCCUUCAAUUAAAUUUGUCUUCAAAGACGACAUUGAAACAAAGUAAAAGUGAUGUAUGUUUUUAAGUGGAAGGUGAAGGAGGAAAUACAAAAUUAGGUUAGAAUAAAAUGAUUAGGAAAAAUAACUAUUUAUUAUAUGCUUGAAGUCUUCAAAGACGACAUUGAAACAAAGUAAAAGUGAUGUAUGUUUUUAAGUGGAAGGUGAAGGAGGAAAUACAAAAUUAGGUUAGAAUAAAAUGAUUAGGAAAAAUAACUAUUUAUUAUAUGCUUGAGAUACAUAUAUACUAAUAUGAUAAACAUGUACUAUAUUUAACUAAAUAUAACCUUAUAAAACAACUACAUAAUUUUUAAAUUAAAAAAGAUUCGUAUAAUAUUCAUUUUAAUACUUAAUUCAAAAACAAAAAUAUGUAAGAUUUGUUUAAUGCACAUAAUUAAAUAGACAACUGGAUAGUGAUAUGAUGCAUAUUUAUCCUAUCAUAAUAGAUAAAUAUAAAUUAUUAAAAAAAUAAUAUUCCUUUAUAUUUUUCAAUUUAGAAGGCAUAACUAGCCUGUCAAUACCAAAAAUUAUUUAUAGUCUUUUUAAUUAUAGUUUCUUUCUUUGUUUGUAUACCGUGUUUUGAAAACUAAAAUAAGUAAAUGUCAUCGGAAAAAUAUGAUAUAAUAUAUUAAUUAUUUUAAGUGUUUGAUAUACAUUUAAUAGUAAUUUUAUAAAUAUAAAUUAUAUUUAACUAUAAAUUAACCUUAUAAAAUAAUUACAUAAUUUUUAUAUUAUCAAUAGUUCAUAUAGUAUUCAUUUUAAUAUUUAAUUUAAAAACUAAAAUAUUUGGAAUAAUUUAGUGCAUAGAAUCAAAUAUAUAUAUAUAUAUAUAUAUAUAUAUAUAUAUAUAUAUAUAUAUAUNNNNNNNNNNNNNNNNNNNNNNNNNNNNNNNNNNNNNNNNNNNNNNNNNNNNNNNNNNNNNNNNNNNNNNNNNNNNNNNNNNNNNNNNNNNNNNNNNNNNNNNNNNNNNNNNNNNNNNNNNNNNNNNNNNNNNNNNNNNNNNNNNNNNNNNNNNNNNNNNNNNNNNNNNNNNNNNNNNNNNNNNNNNNNNNNNNNNNNNNNNNNNNNNNNNNNNNNNNNNNNNNNNNNNNNNNNNNNNNNNNNNNNNNNNNNNNNNNNNNNNNNNNNNNNNNNNNNNNNNNNNNNNNNNNNNNNNNNNNNNNNNNNNNNNNNNNNNNNNNNNNNNNNNNNNNNNNNNNNNNNNNNNNNNNNNNNNNNNNNNNNNNNNNNNNNNNNNNNNNNNNNNNNNNNNNNNNNNNNNNNNNNNNNNNNNNNNNNNNNNNNNNNNNNNNNNNNNNNNNNNNNNNNNNNNNNNNNNNNNNNNNNNNNNNNNNNNNNNNNNNNNNNNNNNNNNNNNGAGAGAGAGGGGAAGUGAGAUGCCAAGCGAAGGACAAUGUAAUAAGUAUAUGGUAAAUAUAUGAUAAAUAUCAAAUAAAACUAUAUAUAUAGUAAUAUGAGUAGUAGGAGAUACAUAUAAAUAUAUGAUAUACUAUAUAUAAAUAUAUAUAUAAUAUAGUAUAAUAUAUAUAUAUAUAUAAUAAUAAUUAUAAUAUAUAUAUAAUUAUAUAUAUAUAUAUAUUAUAUUAUAUAUAUAUAUAGUAUAUAUAAUAAUAUAUAUUAUAUAAAUAUGGAUGUUGAUAUGAUGAUUAUUUAUCUUAUCAUAAUAGGAUAAAUAUACAUUUUGUUUUAUGUAUUUAUAAUUUUUUUAUCUAAAAUUUAUUCAUAUUAAAAAUGGUUCGUAUGGUUAUUUUUGUUAAAAUAUUUUAAUUAAAAACUAUUUUUUUAAAUUCAUCUAGUAUACAAAAUUAAAUAGACAACUAAAUAAAAAUAUAAUAUGAUAAUGAUGUGAUAAAUAUCAUACGAUAAGAACAUGUUGCAAGAAAAAUAUGAUAUAUUUUAUACGAUUACAUAAUUUUUAUAUUGAAAAUGGCACAUAUAUUAUUCAUUUUAAUAUUUAAUUUAAAAACUAAAAUAAUGUGGAUCCUUUUAGUGCAUUGAAUUAAACAACGCUAGAUAAGAAUAUAAUGUGAUGUUAGCAUGAAAAAUAUGUAUUCUAUCAUAAUAUAUGGGUACAAGUUGUUGAUCUAUGAUUAAAUCUCAAAAAACACUAUUUAUUUUUUAUAUUUUUCAUAAUUUAGAAUACAUACCUAACAUGCAUUGCCAAAAAAAUGUUGUAGACUUUAUAAUAUAGUUUUCUUUUUUAGUUUGUACACAUUGUUUUAAAAAACUAAAAUAAUUUUUAAUCAUGUAGUGCAUAAAUUUAAAUAUACAGAUAGAUACAAAUACAUCUUAUAUCUAACUACAAAAUCAACCUUAUAAAAAAAUCACUUAAUUUUUAUAUUAACAAUGGUUCAUAUAAUAUUCAUUUUAUUAUUUAAUUUAAGAGUUUAAUGAUGAUAUUUUGAUCAUAUAAAGUUUUUUUUACACUGUCAAAUAGGAGUAUAUUAUUUUAUCAUAUUAUACAAAUACUUUAAAAAAUUUAAUUUGAUUUGAUGAUGCAUGAUCAUCAUUGAUUAUUAAUGUAAAAUAAAUUUACACAUCAUCCCUUUCCUUUUAAUCUAAAAACUAAAAUAUUUUGGAUUGAUAUGGACAGCUAUAUAAAUAUAAGAGUAUCAUAUAAUAUUGAUAUGAUAAAAACAUGUCAUAAAAAAAUAUCAUUAUAUAGAGAGAGAGAUAAUUCUAAAAUUAACCUACUAAAAAAUAUUUUAUAUAAUAUUCAAUUUAAUAUUUAUUUUAAAACUAAAAUGUUUUGGAUUUGUUCAAUGCACAAAAUUAAAUAGACAGAUAGAGAAGAGUAUAAUAUAAUAGUGAUACGAGUUGUCAUAAUAGAAUAUAUAUUUUAGUAUUUGUUUUUUGUCUUUAUGAAAUUUUUUUCAAUUUUUUUUUAAAUUUAUUUAUAUUGAUAAUGGUUCAUAUAAUAUUCUUUUUUAUUGCUUUUAAUACUCAUAAUAGAAUAAAUAUUUAAGAUUUAAUUAUAAUUUUGCUCCUUCUAUUUUAUUUAUUUAAAAAUUUAUUUUUAUAUUUUAAAUUCAAAGUGUUUUAUGCCUUCUAAAAUUUUUGCACGUAAAAUAGAUGAUGGGUCUAUUUUUUAAUAAUAUGUAACUUUUUUUCUUUAAGUGUCUACAUAUGAUUUUUGAUCUUUCAUUCACAUUUUUCAUUAAACCGAUGGCAUGUUAGUUUUUUUAAUAAUGCCUAAUUUAUAUUUUUUAUUUUUAAAGUUUCACAAAUAUUUUUAUAUAAUGAUUUGCAAUGGUUCAAAGUGACAUGUCAAUUAAAAAUUAAUAUAUCAAUUUUAAAUGUAAAAAAAUGAGAAAGAACCAAAAUAAAUCGAAUUAGAAAUAUGGGGCAUAGUUACCUGAAUCAUCUAAAAUAUAAGAUUAAAACUAUAAGGCUUAAAUGAAGUUUUAUUCCCCUAUUUUAUAUUAUUUAUAAAAUUAAUCUCCAUAUUUUAAAUUCAAAUAAUUUUGAUUAGCCUAAUAUUCUUAUAUUAAAUAUUGAUGAAAUGUUAUUUUUUAAUAACAUUUAACUUAUAUUUUUUCUAUCUUUGAUUUAUUUAUGGUUUUUCUCUUUUUAUUUUAUCUUGUUCGCGAAAUUAAUUAUUUUAUUUUAAAUCCAAACAUUUUUUAUUUUUUUAUAUUAAUUUUGCAUUUAAAAAUAAUGAUAUAUUUAUUUUUAAAUGAUGUAUCAUUGGUGAAACGCGAAAUACUAUUAAAAUUUAAUUGAUAUAUACGGACAAUGUAAAUCUUUUUAACUCUAUCAAAAUAGGAAAAGUACACGUGAUAAGAAAAAUAUAUUAUAAUUAUUUUAUCAUUUAACUUAAGUCUUUGAUACAUAUACAUUUAAUAGUAAUAUGAUAAGUAUAUAUACAUUUAACUACAAAAUUAAUAUUAUAAAACAAUUACAUAGUUUUAUAUUGAAAUGGGUUAAUAUAAUAUGCACUCUAAUAUUUAAUUUUAAAACUAAAAUAUUUUGGAUUCAGUUAGUGCACAUAAUUAAAUAGACAAUUAGAUAAGAAAUAUUAUUUGAUAGAGAUAUGACAAAUAUUUAUCAUAUCUUAAUUAAUUAAUUAAUGAGUAUAUGCUGUAAUUUACCAUUCAAUUUCUACAAAUAUUUUAUAUUGUCAAUUAAUAAUGUCAAUUAAUAAAAGAUGUAUAUUUCGCUAGAUCAUAACUUUAAUUUUAAAAUAUCACAUAAUAAUAUAGUUCAAUAUUAUUAUGAUAUUAGAUGAUGGUGUAAGCAUUAACUUCAAUUUUUUUUUAUAUUUAUCAUAAUUUAUCAGCAAAUUAAAAUUUGAAAUAUGGUUUUCUUUGUUUUCGGUUGGUACACAUUGUUUUGAAAUCUAAAAUAUCUUGGAAUCAUUUUGGAACCUGAUCAUUAUUGGCCAUCCAAUCACCCUAACAUUCAUUCAACAUCAUUUCAUAUUCAUCACAAUCCAAAUCAACCAUUUAAACAUCCAUCCAAUCCAUGUUACAUGUAGUUGGUUCAUACUUGAUUUUUCAACUUUCCAUGACUUGAUCCACCCACCAAUUUUACCUAAAAUCAUUCCACAAAUGUCCAAAAUUCAUUUCCCAUCAUUAUAUGAUCAUUUUAGGUCAAAACAUCCAUCAUUGUGGCUAGAAAAGCAAGAAAUCACAAAAACCCUAAAACUAGGUCAUGUUGGUUGGUCACAUUUUGUCAAGAAUGGCCUAUGGGAAGUUCCAAAGACCAUAACUUCUUUAUUUUUCAAGAUUUUUAAAUUCCACUUUGAGCCAAAUGUCAUAAAUAACUUCCUCUCCAACUUUGUUUCAAAUUCCAAUACCUAAUUCAUUGAGGAAUGGGUUCAAUGUUUCUAUUGACCAAGCUGGUACAACAUGCCUACCAUGCCCUAAAAUCAGUCAAAAUUUGCAAAUUCAUUCACCAAGUUACCAAACUAUUUCAAUAUGAUUCCAAUGGUCCCCAAACACAUUGCGUAUGGUAUUGUGGUGUGAUUUAAGGUCAACUUGCAAGCCAAAACUCCUCACAAAGAAAAACCCAACCCCAUGUGCAAAAUUAGAAUUUUCCCAAAGUAGCAAAAAACAUAUCCUGCAGCAGACCAUUUCAGUGCCUUUGUUGGUUCCAAAUCAAUGCAAAGGAUCAAAACUAACUUGUAUGAGCUGCAAGCAAGGUCAGGACAUAAUCGUUGCAUUUUUUCCCAAAUCAACACCAAGCAUGCUUCAAGUCACAUGCCAAUCUGAACCAAGACACCUCAAUCUCCCUCCAAAACCAUCCACACACCUUCCUUAUAAAUAUGUGAAGGUGUUCCACUUCAGAAGCACACUGAAACGGGCCCCCAUCACGUUCUGACUUUCUCCCUCAAACCUCCAUUGACAGAACUUUAAGUUUUCUGUUUCAGAACUUUUCAACCCUCAAUCUCUGCCCAGAAACACUCCCCACACAUCAUUCAAACUUCCCAAAUACUCAACCACCCUUCCCUGAGCUUCAACCGACCUGAGCUCAGUCAUCGGAAAACUCACCUGAGAAAACUUUAAAAAGGGUGAAAUACUCAUUUCCAUCUUUGAAACAAGUUCCCAAUCUCUUCGAAAUCAUCAAUUGAACAUUUCCCCUAACCUUUUAGCUUUGAUUGCUUAGUUUCCAGAGUUUAAUUUCAUUUCUAGGUCAACUGUGUUCUUCAUUUUCGUGAUCCAAACCUCGCCACUCAGAGCCAAUCAAUGGCUCAUGAGUGGGUAUAACACUUUGUUUAUGAUCAUACAACAUGUCUUAAUGCUUAAAAGUGAUUGGAAACUCUUGAUUUAGAGUUUUGAUUCUGAGUGUUUGAAGGUUGAAGACGAUUGUUGCCCGCGUUUUUUUGAAUUUGAAUAAUAGUGCUGUCACUUUGUGAUUGGUUUAUUUGCGCGUGUAUCUCAUUUACUUUGCAUUUUUAUUAUUUAUUUGUUGACUACGCUAUGUUGACACGACUGGGCCAUUGGCCUAGUGGGUGAGGGGGUCAAUCCCCCCAUGACCCUAAGGUCAGGGGUUUGACCCCCAACGUUUGCAAGUUCCAUUUUCCCUUUUUUCACUGUCAUUUUAUUUAUUUUAUUUUUUCCAUUUUAUUUUCUCUUUUGAUUUUAUUUUUACCCCCUUAUUUUAUUAUUUUAAAAAUAUGUUGAACAUCAACCCCCCUUAUUUUAGCCUCUAGAAUUUAAUGGUGACUUUAUUUAUUUUAUUUGGAUUAUUUUUUAUAGACUUUUGGAGUCUUGAAAUGAAGGACUAAUGAAAAUCACUUAAGUCAUGAUAUUUUUGGUUUAGGGUUGGUAAAAACCUUCCAUACUUCAAACCUACCAUUAGAUGACCAUGAGUUCAUCCAUGGUACUUUGAAGUAUGGAUAGGUUGCCCCUAUUUCAAACAACUUGGUCAUUUGACUUAUCGUCUAAGUUCUAUUCUGUUAACAUGGAUUUAUCUGAUAAUUUUAGACUUUGAUUGUUUAUGCUAACCCACUAACCCUUCUAUGCUUUUGGUUUAUCAUAUUGACUUGUUCUCACUAACCCUUUACUUACUUGUUUAUAUCAUGCUAACCCUCUAACUUAUUACUAUCAUAUCUUGUUCAUAUAAUUUAUUAACAUGAUCUUGGUCAUAUAACCUGUCAAUAUAACCUGUAAACAACUAAAAUCAAUCCUUCAAUUUUGGGUUGUAUAGUCUUCUCUUUGUCAAUCUAUUGAUAUAUGGAUUUGAGGUUGAACAACUUUCAUUGUUACAAAUCUAGGGUAAGUUGAUUCGUUGAUCAUCUUCCUUACUUUGCAUCAGUGAUAAGUUAUCCCUCGAUGCGCCAUAUUUUGAAUCUAUUGAAAAGCAAGAAUACCCAUAAAAUGAUUCAAUCAUAGACAAGUGAACUCUAAGGAGGUUGCCAACAAAGUUCUUCCUAAAUGGAGACGUGUUUCUAAGAUAAAUUAUGACAUGGUCCUGCUCGAUUGUCUGGAUAUACACAAAGCAAACAUGCUCAUCAAAGAAAUCCAUGAAGGAUCCUUUGGUACCCAUGCCAAUGGUCAUGCAAUGGCCAAGAAAAUCCUGAGGGCAGAUUGUUACUAGUUUACCAUGGAAACUGAUUAUUUUCAUUAUGCCAAGACAUGCGAUAAAUGCCAAAUUUAUAUCGACAAGGUGCACAUGCCACUCACUCCUCUAAAUGUCCUAAUAGCGCCAUGGCCAUUCUACAUAUGGAUAAUAGACAUGAUCAGACUCAUCAAACCAAGAGCUUUGAACGGAGACAAAUUCACACUAGUUGCCAUAGACUACUUCACCAAAUGGGUCGAAGAUGCGUCUUAUGGCAAUGUAACUAAACAAGUGGUUGCCUGCUUCAUUAAGAAAGACAUUAUCUGCCGUUAUGGGAUUCCCAGCAAGAUCAUCAUUGAUAAUGGGUUAAAUCUAAACAACAAAAUGAUGAAAUUGUUAUGUAAAAGCUUCAAAAUAAAACACCACAACUCAUCACCAUAUCGGCCUAAGAUGAACGGCGCCGUAGAAGCAGCAAACAAAAACAUUAAAAAAAAUCUUCCUUAAAUGGUAACAACUUACAAGGAUUAGCAUGAAAUGCUUCCCUUUUCACUGCACAACUAUUGGACGUCGGCCUGCAUGUCUAAAGGGAUAACCCAUUUCUCUCUGGUCUAUAGAAUGGAAGCAUUACUUCUUGUUGAAGUCGAAAUCUCCUCGCUGAGAGUGUUGAUGGAGACUAAGCUGGAAGAGGUCACAAGCGCGCAAUCCACGAUGGACUCUAGUCAGCACGCCACAAACUUGGUAAUUCAAACCAAUGCUAAUGAUUAAAUCAUUUUAAAAGGAUCAUGUUGCUCUAAACACGCCAACUCACCACCGGAGCUACAACUCUGAUCUCCUUCUCAGGCGAGUCUCACUGGACUGGUUCAGUCAUAACCAUCAACAAAAUUAAAAAGAAGGACAUGAUUUCAAAGUAAAAAUGACAAUGAGCUCGAAUUUGGCCUUAAUUCAUCCUAACUCCAAGUAUAUUAAAAGAUACAAGGAGUUGAAAUUUGAGGUACACGAUCUGAGUUGCUUCGAUUUGACGUCAAAGCAACUCAAUCUUGUUGCCUACUGUCAUACGGUGAACUGGACUUUUUGUGUUUUUUAUCGCAAUGUCGCGGUUAGCAAGAGUCGCCACCGACUUUUCUUUUAUCCAAUAAGGAAAGGUGGAAAAGAACAGGAAAGACCUUAAUUUGUUGAUUUGGGUUCGGGAGGUACAUUAUACAAAGGGAAGGUGUUAGCACCCUUUGUAUCCAUGGUUAUCCAUGGGCUCUUAAUUGCUCGAUCACUUAUAUUAUUUUGUCUAAAAAGUGUUUGUGAAUUGUUUGGAAAAUUGUUUGAAAAGAGAAUUUAACUUUGUAAGAUCUUGUAUGAAUGUAUACAAGUGGUUAUCCCGUUUUAGUUUUGAAAAUUGUUUAGAAAAAUAUAACUCGGUAAUGAUUCUAGUAUGAAUGUAUACCAAGUGUGAUUUUCUAAAGGCAUUUUGAAAGGUGUGAGGUGCAAAAAAAGUUUUAAGUUGUGAGCCAGCAAAUUAAGAGUUAUACCGACCCAAGGUCUUUACGGGCAUUUCCUAUCCUUAUGAGGGUAAAACUGUCCUUAUUAUUGAGAAAUAAGUAGUUUUAUCCUUGGAUGUAAAGGGUCAUCGUAGGGUCAUCGAUUGGUCAUUGAAGGCAACAGUUAUGAGGAUACCUUAGCAUUCGAAGGGACUAUCAUCAUUUAACCGUAGCAACAUCGGAGGGUCAUCGAGGGACAAGUUGUAUAUUCGAAGGCAACAUCCGAGUGACUAUAAAUUUAUUUAUGAUGAUUAACCAAGGGUCUUUGCUAAGGUAUCCCCACGUUCGCGGACAUGACCGUAAAUAUCGUAUCGUAGGCAACAAAGAGAGGUCCAAGAUCACUUAUUCAAAGGCAAAGUUUACAAUUAAUUAUAUAAUUAGGAUGAAACUCCACAUUAAAAUUAUUAAAAAUAAUAUAUUAAAAAAUUAAUACAUUAGAAAUUAAUAAUAAAAAAUUAUUAGGGUGAAACUCCACAAGGGUCCCACAAAUAAGUGGAAUACUAGCCAAUAACCUUUUCCUGGGAUAUGUGACCUUUACGAAACUCAAAAAAGAAACAUGUCAGAACACCAAUCAGGGUGCAAUCGAAGAUUACCCGGAGAAAUAUCACAACAUAAAUAGGAUAGGAUGAAUAAUGCAUGGCUAUUAUAAAACAUAAAAAAAAAACAGACUAGAAGAAUCAGGUACUGUCUCGUUCGCCUCUGCCUGCCUAGCGAAGGCCACGGAUUUGAAUUUGAAAACAGCCCCAUGUUAGGAACUUUGAAUUUUAUGGCAUUUUAUCACAGGAAUAACAUGGUCAAACAUUCAGGGUAUUCAGGCAUAUUUAAAUUCCCAUACGAAAGCAAAUUAUAUAUCAACAUUUAAUCAUGAUGCAUUAUAUAUGUAGAUAUGCCAAUUGAAAGUAUAACAAUAGAGAUACGCAAACCUGUUGCCAAUUCAAGGUUGAAGGGAUUGACCACUUGUAGUAUCGGAAUAAGUUAGGCAGCGGGGAUUGGACGGCGAUGGCUUCGUGCAGAUGGGUUGCUUUCAGGUUUCUUUACUCUGAAUUCCGGUAGGCAGGGUUCCUAUGCAAAGUUCUAUCCGUCCUUCUCUGUUCUCUCUCUUUCUUUUUCCUCAAGGUUUUGUUCCAAGGAAACCUCAGAGUGUUUGCUUCUCUUCCUUCUUUUCUCCAGUGAAUCUCCCAGUGAACUCCAAGUCUCUCCUAGUACUGAAACUUCAGUAUUUAUAGAUUAAUUUCGUGGGUAAUGGGCUUGGAAUGAGGGAGACCAAGUCCAAAAUAAUUUGUUAUAUUUUAUUUAUUAUAUUUAUUUUAAUUAUUUAAUUAUUAAUUAAUUAAAAAAAAAAUAUCUUUUUUUUUUUUUCGUUUUUUUUUCGUUUUUUUUUUUUUUUUUUUUUUUUUUUUUAGGAAAAAUGAUGGGUAAUUUUUGGGUAUGACAGCUGCCCCUGUUCAUAUCUUGAACCGAGAGAGUUAGGAUGGCGUGUAUGCCAUUCGUGGUCUGGAGUGGAAGAUUAUUGACACUAGAAUGCCCCAAAAAUUUGCACUUGAGAAUCGACAGUUGGUCUUGAUGGAGAUGGGCUUAAAGAUGCCAUCCGGGAGGUUGAUGACGAAAGCUUCAAAUCGAGCCGUACUUAGGCCAAUUUGAAGACACGGUGGCCACACUGGGUGCUACAUUAGACCGAAUAAUGAGCAUCCAUUAGGCUGCCGACUUCGCUGGGGAGUCGGAGUGUGUCAUAUGCUGUUGGGAUAAAGGAUCAGAAGGACCAUACGCUAGAUGUUAUCUGAGUUGCAGAAUGAGCCGUACGUUAGGCUGAUCUGAUGACGAAAGGGGUAGUCGUACGUUAGACUACACUUCAGAAAUGAUAGUAAAAUGUUAUUCUUCAGAAGUUGCAAAGUUUUGAGGCGGGGGUUUGCAAUGUGGGGCAUUCGUGAGGAGUGUUCAAGAUAUCUUUUCCACCUCCAGACCAAACGAAUCGGCAUACACGACCAUUCCUUAAACCUCUUCUCGCGUUCAAGAAUAGUAUUGGAAAACAGAGUGGCAGCGUCGAGUCCAUACCACGCAAAAAGGUCCGAUAAUUUAGUCCCCCAUCAUUUUAGCACUCCACGAAAAAAACCAGCAAAAAAAUAGAAAAAAAAAAAAAAAAAAAAAAAAAAAAAAACAAAAAAAAAAAAAAAAAAAAAAAAAAAAAAAAUAAAAAAAAAAAAAAAAAAAAAAAAAAAAAACGAAAAAAAAAAGAAUUUUUUUAAUUAUAAUUAAUUAAAAACCCUUAAGAAUAUUAAUUAAAAUAAAUAAAAUACGAAAUAAAGAAUGAAAUAUAACAAAUGUAUCCUGUGUUCUGGGGUACUUAGGGGUCUCCUCAUUCCAAGCCCGGGCGAAAUCUAAUGAAUUUGUGCGAAAAUUAACCACGACGACCCCAUUAAUUCAGAUUUAAAUACUUGAAGUUUCGGUAUAAGUUUAGUGACUAGGGAGAGACUUGGAUAGUUCGUACACUCAAGGGACUCCACCUGUCCAAGGAAUUCAACUUGGAGGGAUAGAGUUAAAGUGCGUACGAUUAAGAGGAAGAGGAGAAGCCAAAACACUCUUGAGGUUUCCUUGGAACAAAAGCCUGAGGAAAAAGAAAGAAGAGAGAGAACAAGAAGGACGGGAUAGGAAACUGUUGGUUAAUGAGGCAUUGGAACCCUGCCUGACGCUUACCCGGUUGUAGAUGCCAAAGAAAUUCGAGGGUAGUAGAAAGAAUAACCGAUACCCUGAAAGCGAUAAAGCCACCAGUCUUGCAUCGCGGAGAGCAGCUAUUCGUGGCCGUCGCAACUCCCGCUGCAAACGCUUCAGAACUUGGUAUUCUGUACGCGCAUUACUUGACAUACCGGUGUGGUACUAAUUUCCGCCAGUUGCAAGAAUGAGCUCCUCGCAACCUGAAGUGGCAUAACAGGCUUGUGUUGUUGAUCAUGCGUAUAGUAAGUCUGCUAUAAGUUAGUCAGUUACUGUUCAAUUGGCCAGAACUCUCAGCAUUAAGUACUAUUUACAACUCGCCAUACAUGAUUAAAUGCUUUGAGUAAUAUAAUUUGCUUUUCGUUGGGAAUGUACUUGAAUAAUAUGCACGCCUGAAAUACCCGGGCCUGAACUGCAUCUGAGGAUUUGUAUGACGCAGUCGCCCAAAUGGGUCGUUAUAUUCCUGUGGUAUUAAAAAAUUCCAUAAGAAUUCUCUAUAAGAGAGUGUUGCUGCUAAACAAAGUCAGAAUGGAUGUUAGCGGUGCUCGGAUUUUCAAUAAUUCCGUCAAUAAUCCGUGGCCUUCCGCUAGGCGAGAAGUUGUAGAAUGAGCCCGUCCGUUAGGCCUGCAGAGUUGGCUAUCCCUGAAGAAAAAAAGGAAACGAAGUAGUCGUACGCUAGACGAGUACCUAACCUACCGAUUCCUCUGCUAAAAGUUUGCUACUUCGUUGUUUUUUUGAACUGGUUCUUUCAAAAUAAGCCAUGCAGUCCUUUAUGCAUCUAUCCAUCCCUGUUUUAUUUAGGAUUUUUGGUGAGUAUCUUCUCCAGGAAAUUGUAAGUCCGUUCGAUUGCAUCUCACUGCAUUUGUUUUUAGCAUGCAACUGUUCUUGCUUUUUAGUUAGUUGUUCGUAAAAAUGUUGGGCAUCGACUUGAGUAACGCCAGGAAAGUCGAGUUAUUGUGGCUAGUGUUAGUGUCCACGGUUAUCUUUGAGAAUCAGAUGAAAACCCGUACGUUAGGCUGUAUCUGUAUGAGACCGUGUAUACCCUUGUAUGAGUUUUCACCCUAAAUUUAAUAUUUUUUAAUGUCUAUUAAUUUCUAAUGUAUUUAAUUGUUUUUAAACUUAGCUCCAAUUUAAUUUUAUAUAAUGAAUUUUUAUGGGGAGAUUUGAUGCCCUUCACAUUAAUUAAUAGAUAAUGUCCCAACAUCCUCUGUAUUUAGAAACUGUUGGGCCUUUGAGAUUAUCCAGGUAUCAGUUUGAUUGCUCUAGCUCUAUGUUAUUACCUUUUUACGAUCUCACACUGAGAACCUUGAUUUAUUCUUGAAAUAUCGUGGUUCAUAUGUGCACCUCCUUGAAUGUGAUGAUAAAAGGUGUCUGUCGAAAUGAAACUUCUACUUUGACCUCUAUCCAGGGCGAACGUGGGGGAGAUACAUACAUUUUAAAGCACACCUGCACCCACAUAGAAAAAAUCGGUUAAAUCAUCAUAAAAUUAAAUUAUAGUACAGCUCUCGAGCUUGAUAUGUUCGCCUUAUUCGUACAUUAUGCAACUUAUUGCGAUCCGCUAGCGAUGUGUUCCCCUUCGUCUUAUACUUAUUGAACUCUAUGGGAUACUGUGUUUAGAUAUGAAUUGAUGCCCUCUCCCGUUCGGUUAGCAUUGCGUAAUGAAGGAUAAAUGUCCGUACAUAGAACUUGUGUGCCGUUUCUCAAUGACCAAUCUCCGGUAUGGACCCUUUAGCGAAGUUCUGAUUGUGAGCGAACCCUUUUACUAAUCCUGCAAAGGAUAAAACUAGGGCUAUAAAUAAAUCUUUUCUCCCACAAUCUAAAUAAGUGGACUAGUUUUUUAAGCCCAAUUUUUGAGUGGGUACUCCACGCGAAGAUGCCCUGGCCUAAAGACUCUUUCUCCGGCUUUGUGGUCGGGGAUUGCCUUUGGAAUUAUACUCUUCAAUUUGUCUAGUGCUGGUCUGCGUAGCAACUCUCAAGAAUACUCAUUGUUUUUUUUGGCACUCACACCUUUUCAAAACGCCUGGUACGAUGAAAUAGUCACCCACCUUUGCGGGUAUACAUUUCAAUACAUCGUCAGAAAUUUCUAUUACCUGAGGUAAUAUGAUUUGUUCAAAAUUUUCAAAACUAAAACAGAAACACGGCUGGUAUAACCACUUUGCAUGGGGGUAAACAGAGAAUUGGAUAGCGGUUCAUUGGAAGCAUGAUUAACUUUCUUGAUCCUGAAAAAGUGGUAGUAAUGGCUAAUUGCUAUUCUAGUGCAUGUAUUUUGGUAAACCAUCAGUCAUUUCAAUGGCCUUUAAUUCAAAUUAAAUCAAUGACUUUUACGCAACCAAAACAGAAAGUAAACACAAACGCAUCUUUUUUUUGAAAGAGGUUGUAUUGAUUGAAAGGGGCCUUAACAGAAAUUUGUGACAAGGAGACGAAUCUAGUAGAGGAAUGUGAAAACAAAGAGAAAGCUAUGGGAGAGAAGUCCUAUUGAUUUUAAAGCCAUAUGUCUUAUGUCUUUCGACAUUCAUCCCUUGGUCGUCGGAUAGAGUGAUUGGCUUAGUAGUCCCUCGACUUGAUGGGAAAGUUGACUGAGAAAGGGACAUGUCAUACGCGGUUAUCCUAAUUUUUGCCGAGCCUUUUCAGGUUUCAGUCCCAGGGAUACCUUUUUUGUCCCAAGCCGCCUUUUCAGGUUUCGACUUCCGGGUGUACAUUUUUUGUUAUUAUCCCUAAUUUUUUGCCCGACCCUUUUGGUUCGCCGGGAGGCCCUUACUUUUGCCUAAGUACGUCGAUUAGCGGGGUUCUCUUUUAUGAACGUCAGUAUUUUUGAAAAUAUUGUUCGCGUUACGGGAUGUGGAGUCUUCACCAUCCAUUGUAGCGGUUCAUGGUUCACUGAGAAUAUACCUUCUUAAACUACAAAUGGCCUCGUAUGUGGAGUCAAUUUGCCUCUGGGGUCCCAGUUGUGGUGGAUGAUGCGUUAUUGAAUUACCAAGUCGCCAAUUUGAUGCACUUGUCCUCUUGCUUUUGGUGAGAAUUCCUCGGUCAAUGCGUUCUGAUAAUAAUCUGCCGAAUACAGCGCCAAGUCUCUUCUCAAUCCAAAUUCAAUACUCUAAAUGUAAUCAUUUGACAAAUCGCUUAAACUACGUUUCUCAGAAAACUAAUUUUGCUCCAUUACAAUCUCACAAACGUACCCUUUUUCUGGAGGAGCUCUAAAAAAUAGACCACCGCUUCAAUAGUGAUCUCUGAGCAAUCAUAUGAAGAAGGCCACAUGAUAAAUACUCCAGUGAGCUAUAUCACCCAAGGCGUGUGCUAACGACCUUCUCUUGAUUUUAUAAAAAUCCGGUUUCCCACUCCUCUCCCAGAACCCAAUAGAUCAUAUAAAGAAAAAUUGUAGGAUAGCUUGUGCCAUGUUCUCUCUCUUCCACCUUUCCCUUUAUUCCCUGAGAUAAGAUUAGACCACAGGUCAAAGUACGAUAACCCAUGAAAGUUUAAGCAGGAUAUCGACUCUUGCUAGAGCUCAGCGAAUCUAUCAUGCGGACUUUCAAAAUCAUUCUCUAAGUAUAAGCCUCCGUCAAUGCUUUCUUAUCCGUAUAAUCUCUUUAAAUAUUCUUAAUUAAGCCGCUUCUACAGCGCCGUUCAUCUUUGCCGGUACGGAGAAGAGUUUAUGGUGUUUUAUUUGAACUGCCCCGUGCGAGUUCCUAUGACAGUAGGCAACAAGAUGAGUUGCAUUUGGACGUCAAAAUACGAAGCAACUUAGAUCGAUGUGUACCCUCAAAUUUCAACUCCUUGUAUCUUUUAAGUUAUACUAUGGAGUUAGGAUGAAUUAAGGCCAAAUUCGAGCUCAUUUUCAUUUUNNNNNNNNNNNNNNNNNNNNNNNNNNNNNNNNNNNNNNNNNNNNNNNNNNNNNNNNNNNNNNNNNNNNNNNNNNNNNNNNNNNNNNNNNNNNNNNNNNNNUGUGCCAUUUAGCUAGAAACCUUAACUUAGGGAUGACUUUGCAUGACAACAUCUAGGCUCGAGUCGUAGUCUCCCUAGUGUUGUGUCUCCCUCUGUUAUCUGGUUAGGCUAGAUCCUUGUCCCUGCGUAGGGGAACUACAUCGCCCUGAUCUUCACACCAGAUGAAGCAUGUAGGCAGGAGAUUGAGCUGAUCUCUCCGGGCGCCUUUUUCUUUUCUUUUGUGUGAGUUGUUUGACAGUUGCUAGGCUCGAGUGCUUGACUCCUUAGCAAUUUGUCGCCCUUUUUCUUUUCCAACCCUUUGUGUCUUAACCACCCUUGUGUGUGUUCUGGUCGGAGUCCGACAUAAGUCCAGCGAUUGGCAGUUGGUUUCCUGUGUGUGUUUGUUGGUUCGGAUGCUGAUAUAAGUCCAGCGAUUGGCAUUCAGGCUCCACGUUCGCCUGUGUCUUGUUUGCUUGUGUGCGUGUCAGCCGAGCUACGAAUGCUCUGAUUCUUCUCUCGUCCGAGAAGAUACGUAUGCAUAGGAUGCGAUAUCCUAGCGAGCAUGUGUCGUUUCCCCAGUCCGAACUAAUUUGCCCUCCUCUCUUGGGACUAGCAUAACAUAUUGCAUAUCAUUUUUAGGUCAUUAGGCAUUGCAUAUUGCAUAUCAUGUGGUUACAUUGUGCAAGUCAUCCUCCUAAGUCUUGAUCAGAAGAUAAGAGGUGGAGAUGCAGGCCUAGGGUUUUAUUGACUGAUCAUUAGCUAUCUGAGGAUUGGGCUAUGAAUUAGGGUUUCUCAAGGAGAUUGGUCUUCAUCUUGGUUGAAGUGGUACAUCAUCAUCAUCAUGGUCUUGAUAUCAUCCAAGAGAUUCAGAAGAUUGAUCAGAUACUUUGAGAUUAGGGUUUUGACCGUUGGUCAACCCUAAUCAGUUGUAUUGGGCCAAUCAGGGCAUGGCUAGGAGAUGGGGUCUACAAUGGAUAUGGGGAUCAUCAUGUGAUUUUAUGGAGCUUAUUGAGGCUAGGGUUUCAUCCUUGAGCCAUUUCAUCAGAAGAUUGGGGCUCAGAUUGAUCAGUGCAUUGCCAAAUUCAUCUAUCAGUUGAAAAAGUCAACUGUGGUCAACUGUGCUUAAUUUUAUGGAUUUGGAGGUGGGAGAGAGUUAGAGACACUUCAUUCAUGUUGGAACAAGUGUUAUUUGACAUUGCAAAGCUCAAGAAUGAAGAAAAUAAAGUCAGAACAAAAAUUGCCAAAAAAAGAAAGUGACUUGUAAUGGAAGUUUCCAAAAAUGGAAAGUUUUUGACCACAAAAUUACAUAUCCAAGGAAGCUUCAAAUGAAAAUUUGUUCAACAUGAACGUUGUAGAUCUUGUUCUUACCUUUCCAAAAAAUCCAAGAACUUGAAAUUUCCAUGUAUGGUUGACAAGUUAUGGUCCAUUCAAUUUCAAAAAAGACCCAUAAUCAAAGUGGCAUAACUUUCACAUGGAGUGUCCAAAAUAAGUGAUCUUUUUAUGAGCAAACUCCAUUUAACAUGUACUUUAAUGGUGCAUAAUCAAAAUUCAUCAAAAAUGGUCAAUGCAAAAGGUCAAUUUUCAAGUGCACUAAUUAAAAUCCAAGGGCAAAAUGGUCCAAGUUGAGAAAUAAUUGGAAUUUUGGAAUGGGAGUUUUUGCAACACAUCACAAAUUCCAAAUAGAAAUGGUUUGAACUGUCAUGAGUUUUCAAGGAUCAAUAUUUGGCUAGGCUAUUUUUGAACUCUCACUUUAAGUACAAUUUUGGCAUGGCAUAGUGAAAAUGAGAAAUACAAGGCCAAUUGAUAUGGGAUCAAAGCCAACACAUUCCAAAUGGCAAUUAGAAGAUGUCUGAGCUGUCACCUUGCUGUCACAUAGCCCAAUGUGAAAUGUCAUUUUUGCCCUUGCACUCAAAUUGCACAUUAAGCUAAUUUCAUUUCAUUUGGUUAAUUGGUGAUUAGCAAAGUGAUUAGAGUGGAGUAUAAGUGUCUAAUUAUAACAGAAUGCUAAUCACAAUCACAAUUCUCAAGGUUUGUAACUACUUUUCCCUCCAUUUUCUCCAAGAUCCAUCAAGAACUUCAUCACUAUUUUUCAAGAUUUCUCCACGAAUUCUCCAUCAAUUGGCUUGGUUCUUUUUGCUUCAUCAUCCUUAUAUCUUCCUCUCCAUCUGUUUCAUCAAGUCGUUGCCUAUAGCAUCAAGAAUCUCCACUGCUCAAAGUAAGGUCAACAAUGGUGAUUGGAAAAUUCUUGCAAUUAGAGUAACUUUGAGCUAAAGCACGCAUUGCAUUCAUCUUCCACAACCUUGAUGUGCAUCUGUUUUGGACAAUUGGAGCAAGAAACCUCAAAUUCGAGCACUGCCAUCUCCAAGGUACCAAAACUCGAAUCUCACCAUUUCUUGAAUUGUGAUAUGCUUUUGGUAGUUUAUUCAUCAUAGAUCAUCAUGCUGUGCAUAGUUUGUGAAAUGAUUAACUGAUGAGUGAGAUAUCUUGAUUUUUAGUUUGGAUGUCAUUUAGGUUUUUGAUCGAUCCCGAUGAUACAGUUAGAAUUAGGUUAAAUAAGCUAUAUAUUUGGAAUCUAGGAGGAAGGACGGUUCUAGUGAUAUAUGGCAUGAGCAUUUUCAUUGAAAUUUGUUGUUCUUCAUUUCUGGAAUUUUUGAAGUUGUUCUUGAGGAAGAACGCUUCCAGAAGAGCGUUUGAUCUAGAAUCUCGCCUGGCCGUUUUUGAAUUUUGUUUCCCUCCAGCGCUAGCCAAUGAGCACGUGCCAUGGCAUUAAGUGGAGGCGACGUCGUUUUGGCGUUUUUGCUGAUAAUUACCAUCCGUGCCAUUAUCAUAUAAUUAUUUAUAUUAUUUCAUUUGCUUUUUCUUUUUUUAUUUCAUUUUGAGGUUUGAUCUUGUAAAAUUCAUAACUGAUUCAAAAUUCAUCCAAAUUUUGUGAAAUUUUUUGUGCCAUGCUCAUGAUAAUGUGUAGAAUUUUAUGAUGAUUUUUGUGAAAUUUUUGCACGUGUGGAAAUUUAAUUGGCCUAUUGAUUUUGUUCAUGUGUGCAUUUUGUGUAGUUUCACCAUAUCCUUCCUGAAAAUACUAUACUGUGUAAAGAAUCGGAUAAAAUUUUGUGCUUAUCUGGACUUGUUGAUGGUGAUUUCCAUGUAAGUUAUGAUUUUUUGGAUACUUGGUGAUGGAGAUAUGAUUUUUUUGAAUAGAGGUGUGACAAUUUGUGUCCACACCAAGCUUAGUCAACUUUCUGAUUUUAUUUGCCUGGGCCUAGAAAUGUUGAAUUGCUCCAUAUCUUUGGCGAAUGAAUGAUCAUUGAUAUGUCAAGAUAACAUGGAUUUUUGCUGAAUUUUUUGAUGUCAUUUUCUAAUGAUUGAUUAAUCUUUCUUCCUGUAGCUCAUUUUGUGAAUUUAUGUGACACAUGUUGGCAUUUUGCUUGUUGAAAUUCUCAUAAUGGUACUGGAUGAAGAUGAAAUUUGAUAGUUGAUUGUAGACACAUUGUGGGACAUCAUGCUUUUGGUCCCAUUCAUUUCUUAAUUGUUUUACUGUUUUAUGAAUUAUUGAAAUGGAUGCUGCUUGGAUGUCUGAAUUGGCUUACAUAAUUGUGUUCUGACUUUUUUGAUUUUCAUUGACCUAGCUUUCUUUUGUCCAAUUGAGCUGAAAUUGACAUGUUCUUGUUGAUUGUGUCCUGUUUAGGUGUGAAUAAUUUGAGGAUUUUUGGAAUGUUUUGGUAUGCCUUUGAUUGAAGGUCAUUCUGUUUGGACUUUUGUGUGUAUUUUGACCUAGUUGUGGUAUAUUGUGCAGAAUUGAUAUUGGUGAAUGAUAUGAGCAUGAGACCAAUUGCAUUGCUUUCUAUUUGUUUGAAUGUGAUUUUGGAUUGGUUUUGCUUGCUGUUUAGAUUUUUUUUUACCCUUUGGACCCUAGGCUUUGGCCUAGGGGUCUAUUUUCUCACAUUUGUGUGGAUUUCAGGAUGAAAUGCACAAUGCUUACAAGGAGAUUGUUCAAGGCAAUUUGAAUUGAGUUUGGUUGUGUUUAUGAACUAACAUACUUUGUUUUGUAGGAAUUGAUGCUUAGCUUAGGCUUAUAGCUUGCACUUGUGUGCAUUGACUUGUGUUGUCUGUAUAGAUUAAACAUUUGUUGUUACACUGUUUGUCUGUCUGAGUACUGAUGAAUCUUGAUUGAUUUCAGGUACAUUUAGUUGCUUACAGUUCUUUUAAGAACUUGCUUGAUGUGCUGCUGGUUUUUUAAACCAGUUAAGGUAGACUCUCUAUACUUCAUGUAGUCUGGAAGACUUGGCCUGUUACCUGGCCAGGCAACUGUCUGAAGUCCUCCUUAAGAGGCGAUGAUUGUGAUUGUUUACUUUUGUGCCAAGCAGGUAAAGACCUCUAUGAGGCAAUGGGCGGAUACCCAAGGGAUAUGCAAUCUAUCCCCGCUAUUCUGUGAGUCGUCCCUACUGCUCACACCACUGUGUUGAUGCAUUGGGACACAAACCCAAGAUCUUGUACUUUGUAACAGUGUGUUCAGAGUCUUGAGCCGUAGGAAGGGUCCCUCCAUUCUGGACCCACGCUCCUUUGUCUGAAGCUCUCCGUGGUCAGGAGAUAAGAGCUUGAAGUCUAAUCUUCACUCACCUUUCAAUCUGCUUCACCUUAGCCGCCUCAAUGGCAGGUUAAGAGCCGAAACUACCCCAUGUACAGAUGACUUGCUUCGGCAGUCAAACCCAUUGUUUGAGCCCACUUGAUUGGCUAUGUGUGUGUAUGUGAAUACUUGCUUGAAAUGCUUGUUUUUUGAUCUGUUGAUGCUUGUAUGCUUGUAUGCUUGCUUCUUUUCCUGGAUAGGAUUCAGCUUGCUGUUGUGCAAGUAGGUAGAACCUGAACUUUAGGGCAAUGAUGCAGGAUAACACUAGGCUCGAGUACAGCUCCCUGGUAGUGUGUCUUCCCCUUGGUUUCUGGCUAGAUUUCUUUCCUUUCAGGGGAACUACAUCGCCCUGAUCCUCGUUCCAGACGAGGUAUGUAGGCAGGAGACCGUGCGAGGUCUCUCCGGCCAUUUUUUUUUCCUUUUGGUGUGUGUGCUUGACAGUUAUAGGCUCGAGUUCCCGACUCCCUAUAACUUGUUGGUUGUUGUGUGCUCGGAAGCUGAUGUAAGUCAUCGGUGGCAUCCGGGUUCCAGUGUGCGUGUGUUUUUGGUUCGGAUGCUGAUGUAAGUCCAGGUGAUGGCAUUCAGGCUCCAUGUUGCUUGUGUUUGUGUUUGCUUGUUUGGCGUGCGUAAGCCGAACUACGACAGCUCUGAUUCUCGUUCCAGACGAGAUACGUAGGCAUAGGAUGCGACGUCCUAUCGAGCUCUCUCCCCCUUAACCCACCUGUGUUGUCUUCGGUGUGUGUUGUGUGUGAUGUUUUAGCAACCUUUUCUUUUCUUAGAGCGUGGAUCCCGUCGAGUUAUGACGGACGUGAGGGUGCUAAUCCUUCCCCUUGCGUAACCGACUCCCUUACCCUUUCUCUUUGGUCGCGAGACCAAUGUUUUUCCAGGUUUCUCUGAGCGUUUCCUUUCCCUAUCUUGGGAUAAAUAACGCGCAGUGGCGGCUCUGUGUUGUUUUUGUUUUAGCCCGCCGGUUGUUUUUUCGCGGAUGCGACACCUAAAAAAAGAGGUUACACACCUUUGUGGUUGCAAUGUCUCAUAAAUAGAAGACUAGUUAUUGAAAUUGUGCAAAAACUUUAUGGAAUACAUAACUCGUCAAUGAAGUCACAAUGGUAGUAUGUUCUCUUUCUUGUUUACUUAUUCCUUAGUUGGUCGUGUUGUCAGUGGAUGUGAUCCUCCUUUCAUCUGCUUGUUGGUUUAACUCGUCCACCGAAGGUUUUUCCUGUGCACCUUUAACCGAUGAUCGAUACAUGGUGGUUAACAUUUUUAUAGCUAUCGUCAUUUCGCGAUCGUAGAGAUUCCACCGUCUCCGAGGGGCAACAUCUUAUGAACGGUCAACUGAGUACUACCUUUAUUUAAAGGUAAACUUCGUUCUCCCCACUCCUCCAAAAUUUAUUCAAGAGGCGUGCUUCUAGAGGAUGUGGAAAUUAUUCCCCGAGAUUCAGCCAAAUUUGGCUUACUUUAAGAUUGUUGCCGAAUGAGGAUGAGAUUUCGUAAGGGCCUCUCCACUAAGUCAUUUUUUGGUUAGUAUGGACUAAGCCUGGAUUCUUUAUCUAUAAUACAACCUCAAAGUGAAUUUAUGAACUUAAUAAUUUAUCUUGGUAAGAAUUCCGAGCACAAACGUCUUAUACAAUAUUUCCCUUUGAGGUUGUCAGAAACCUAUGGCACCUUACUCUCGCCUAUUCUUUCUUACUAAGGCUGCAACCUUCGUUAUUCUGUGCGAGUAAGAUAUCGAAUUAUCGAAAGUCAAAGAUUUCUCACUAUUGUGUGUGUUUCUAUAUCUUAUUGGUGGAGAGUUUAUUACUUGGCUAUGACAAAUCAAAAGUUAUCACGAGGAGCUCAUCGUCUACGAGGCAUCAUGUAAACGUUUCACCAGUAACGAGAACUGUUAAAAUAACUAAUAGAUCUUCACUUAAUAUUCUUUGUAUCUUCUUGUUUCUCGAGUAUUCUAGUACAACUCGAUAUUUGGUUUUUGAUUCAGUAUCACUCUGCCAUCUAGAAGAGGUGUUUUGAUGACAAAUUGCCACUAGAAUUAACAAUGUUAUGGAUCUCAAUGGCGAGGAUCAAAUAUGGCAAAUUUGGAUCAGAAUACCUAACUAUUCACUUAAUAAAAAAUGUGUCAUGUGAUUCACGGCGGUAAUCACUACAAUCGACAAUAACUUUACACUCAAAAUUCUAUUUACCUCAUCGCAAUCUAGGAAUCCUGGUACCAUGCGGUCUUUGCUUAUCAUUUGGAGAUUACUCUCCAUAUGGUGGAAGUGCUCCGAUAUCAGAUCUACGUUGGAAAUUUUUAUGAUAUUCUUCUCAUGGAUGAUGGAUAAUUUAGGCGAUAUGAAAUUGGAAGGUUGAUCAAGGAUCUUCAGUGGGAUAUUGGAGGUGGUUUCCUCCAUUUCUUGACGAUUCUGGUAAGGAUUCAAUUUUAGAUUUAGGACAAUCCAUUUGUGGAUUUUUCACGGGAAUUAGGAGUCAAUUCCCACAAACGGCACCACUGUUCCAUUUCAGAACUAAAAUUAGGUGUAUGUAGAUGGUGAAGAAUCCUGAACCGUGGUACUGAUCUCCAAUACAAUGAUGAGGGGUGAACCUGCAAGGUUAACACUCAAAUGCCUAAGUCAAUUCAGAAUUCAAGAUAAGUGUAGUAAAAAAUGGAGAUUAGAAAGUUCACCUUGAAUAUAUUGUGUGAUAGCUUUAUACCUGGUGUCAUUUAAAGUGGACAAAGCCUUAGCUUUGUGCCUUUGAACGACCCAAAACAAAUAGCAAAAUAUAAUUGAAAAGACAUAGAUGACAUAACAUUAUUUCAAAACUAUUUUUUAAAUAAAAAGGUAAAGUAAAAUCUAAACCUAAAAUAAAAAUAAAUAAUAACAAUCAAAAAUAAAAUAAAUAUUAAGACCCCUAAAUAAAAACGUAAAUAAAAGAAAAAACGCAACACCCUUGUACUUGCAAAAAUACAAAAAGGUUGACGAACCCUCUUAUGUGAUAAAGAGUAUGAGAGUUUUGUAUCUUUGUAUAUAAGAGAAAUAAUGAAUAUCCUCCUAACCCUUAGGGUUGGGAUAUUUAUAUCCUCAAGUUUUAGGCCAAGCAGAUGAAGUUAUAUUUAAUUCCCCUAAAUUGUUUUGGUUAAAUAUUGGGGGAUAAGAAGACCAUUUCUCAUAUAUACUUGGAGUCAGAUGACUUAGAAAUGGAAACAAAAUAUGUACCCGCGUGAACCAACCCCUAGUUUGUCAGGGAAAAUCAGUUCAGUCUGGGUCUGAGACUAGGUUUGGGUUUUCCCAAUUUGAAAAAAUGGAUACAAGACGAGUAAUGGGGAUACUAGUACCCACCAUGUGUGGAACAUUGUUUUGCAGAUGAUAUGCUUUUAACAAGGAUAUUAACUUUUGAUGAUGACAACUAAAGUAUUGCAAUAAGUCAAACAUGAAUGAUUAAAUUGCAAACAUAUCUUUAAGUUUGAUAAACUUUACAGUAUGGUGAUGGCAAACAAAGAAUAUUCUAAAGCCUCAUCUUAAAAGCCACUCAAGCAUAUGUCAAUAUAAAGAGAAGUAUCCGACAAAGGCUUGAAGAAAUAUAUGGUGAUCUCCUAACUUAGUAUUAGUGAUCUCCUAUUUUAGUAAUGAGUGAAUGUUUGUAAAAGAAAAAAGGACUUUAUCGUAAAAGUAUGAGACCAAAGUACACACCCACACACAAAACCAUUUUCAAAAUACUUUACUAAAAGAAAAUACUUUGAAAAACAUCUGAAAGUUAUGUCAGAUAAAUUGGAAAAAGUCAAAUUAGCUACAUGAUUUUUUUUUUACAUAGCUAAUCGAUUAGAGCAUUAGUCUAAUUGAUUAUAAAUGUUAAAACUUAAGGCCCAUAUCUUGAAGGUGCCUUGAUUAUGUACAACGACUAGAAAUCUUUUCCUUCCUUUUAUGGAACUUGCAAACGAUUAUUUUCAACUUCUAAUUGAUUAGGAAUAAGUGCUAAUCGAUUAAAUAAUGAUAAAAUGUAUUUAUUUCUAAUUCCUUUUUUAGCCAACCUCGGACCCAUAAAUAGUGGUUCCAUUUUUCAUUUCAAAGCAUCCAAAAUUAUGUUUUGACACAGAGAGAGAGAGAGAGAGCAUCUCUCUCUCUGUAAACAUUUCUUUAACUUUCUCUCACUGUGUUUUUAGCCUAAGUGAUUUUGUGAGAAAUAUUCUUUUGUUAGUGAGAUCAUUUUGUAAUUUUGGAAUGGUUAGAAUUAUAAAAUUCACCAAGGGAACCUUUUGUGUAUAACUUGACUAAAUACUGUCCAAUUAGGAAUUUGUUUAGGUUAAAGCUAAACCCUUAAAAAUCUUUCAUUUGGGAUUGAGUAUGCUAGUCCUAUUUUAGGUUGGAGAUUAACAUGUGGUAAAAUCUCUUAGGUUCUUAGUCAGUGCGAUAUUAAAACCAAGAUAUAUUGAAGCUCAGUUCGAUACUUAAAAGCUUCACAGGUUCGAGAUUAACCCGAUGUUAAAAUCUCACAGGUUUUUGGUUAGCCCGUUCAACACCAAGGUAUUAAGCUCAAAGGUUAUGGAACUUGAAGACUAACCGCUCCAAGGUUCAUGUUUGUGGAAAGAAGACUAACCGCUUCAAUCUACCAUUUGGGAAUGAAGAUUGCCCCAUUCACUCUCAAGCAAACAUUAAAGAAAAAACACAAACGCAUACAUCCAUCGUCUUAUAUAUUGUGAUCGAAGAUCAAUAACCAUUUCCUCAUAUAAGGAGGUUUGUGUGUAUUUCUUACUAAAAACUCUCAAUGUUUAAUAGAAACUCUUAAGAGCCAUGCAUCUAUAGAAAAUGACAAUUUCUUUCCUAAGAGAUUAAAAAUUAUUUGUCAAGACACUUGUAUUGACACGUUAUUCUUCAGAUAUUUGUGGACGUACCCAUCCAGACCAUGGUGCGAUGAGUUGGGCAACCUAUAACCCGGUCUGAACACCAAUGACCCAACAUAACACCUUUGGAUUAAUUUAGUUUUAUAUCGUCGAAACCCAAUUAAAGUUAUCUGAGUCCAUCCUUAACAAAAAAAAUUUAACUAAAAAAAUAAAAACAAAAUCCUAAAUAAAAUAAAUAAAAUAAGGGUAAUGCUAACUUGUGCCUCAGGGGCACAAGUUAAGAGAUGAAUAUAGAAACAAAUUCUUGAAAAAUGUGUAUUGAAUUUAUUAAAAAUUUAUCAUUAAUAAUUUUAUUUAUUUUUCCAAAACAAAUUUUCUAUUUGUGGGUUUUGAGAUGAAUAUAGAAACAAAUUCUUGAAAAAUGUGUAUUGAAUUUAUUAAAAAUUUAUCAUUAAUAAUUUUAUUUAUUUUUCCAAAACAAAUUUUCUAUUUGUGGGUUUUUUAACAUGUGCCUUUGGGGCACAAGUUAGCAUUACCCAUAAAAUAAAAACAUAAUCUCCCCAAAUAAAAUCCUUAAUAAAAUUUCAAGGAACUCAAAUUAUAUUUAACUCAUUUUUACUAAAAAAUAAAAUAAAAUAAAUAUUUUAUGAAUAAAAAUUUAUUAAAAAUAUCAAUAAUUAAUAGAAAAUCAUUUUAAAAUACUAAUAUAUAUUUCUUUUUAAAUAAAAUUUAAUAUCUCAUCUAAAAAAAAAUCUUAUUUAAUUUAUUUUGUAAAAACAAAUUAUAAAAGAUAUAAAAAAAUAGAGAAUAACAUUGUGAACUAUGCAAUCUAAUUCCCAUUCUGAUAUCGGCCCAAGCCCGCCUAUUAACUCGUAACUAAAAUUAGGAGUCCGUCACGGAAGGAUCUAGAAGUCAAGUCUUCCCAACGGCAUUAUACAAAUCGUCACCGAAGGAUCUAGAACCCUACUAAACUCCUCCCUAUAUAACUACUCACUUCUCUUUCACCACUCAUAAUUCUCUCUCAAAACCCUAACUUUACCUCUAUCUCUCCCUCUACAACCUGUUUCUCGAUCUACCAUGACAGAAACCGAAACGUUUGCUUUUCAGGCUGAGAUCAACCAGCUUCUCAGUCUUAUCAUCAACACCUUCUACUCCAACAAGGAGAUCUUUCUCCGUGAACUUAUCAGUAACGCCUCUGAUGUAAGCUUCCGAUUUACUCGCUUGUUUAGGGUUUUUUGAUGCUGUUUACAUACUUUUUCUGCUUGAUCUGUGAUUUAUACAUGUUAUUUAGUCUAAUUGAAAUUGAUUAAUAGUGUUUUCACUUUUAUGUCUCUAUUAAGUUGUAGAUUAGCUUAGAAACACCUUGACUGACUCUGUUUUCGUUAAUUUCUUGCAUUGAUUUCACAUGUUUUUGUGUGAUUACUCUGAUUUUAAUUAUUUUAUGCGUUGUUCAUUAAUUGGAUAGGGUUUUUGUAGAUUAAUAUGUUAGAUUUGUUUUGUUGACACGUUACAUGCUUUAUAUGAGCCUUAGUAGUGGUAAGGGAUAGUGAUUUUUAUUAUGACUGGAAAUAAUGAUUUUAUUUCCAUCGAAUUGAAUUGGAAUGGUUGUUUUGAUCUGUUUAUUUGUUUUUGUUAAUAAUUAUAGAGUGGGAACUGUUUGAGUGUGAGUGAAUGAUUAAUUUUUUUCUUCAAAGAUGUUGAUGUGAUUUUGAUUGCCUAACAAUGUAGGCUUUGGACAAGAUCCGUUUCGAGAGUUUGACAGACAAGAGCAAGCUCGAUGGGCAACCUGAGUUGUUUAUCCAUAUCAUUCCCGAUAAGACUAACAACUCUUUGACCAUUAUUGAUAGUGGUAUUGGAAUGACCAAAGCUGGUAAGUUGACACUGUUUUUCCAUUAUACAAGUUUUGAUUGGUUGUUAAUGUGAUUGAUUCUAAUACUGUUUUGCUGGUUUUUAAAUUGUUAUAGAUUUGGUCAACAACUUGGGUACCAUUGCAAGGUCUGGUACCAAGGAAUUCAUGGAAGCUAUUGCUGCUGGUGCUGAUGUAAGCAUGAUCGGACAGUUUGGUGUUGGUUUUUACUCUGCAUAUCUUGUUGCUGAGAAGGUGAUUGUUACCACCAAGCACAAUGAUGAUGAGCAGUAUGUGUGGGAGUCCCAAGCUGGUGGGUCCUUCACGGUUACAAGGGAUACAUCUGGUGAGGUUCUUGGCAGGGGUACUAAGAUCACUCUCUACCUUAAGGAAGACCAGCUUGAGUACCUUGAGGAGCGUCGUUUGAAGGAUUUGGUUAAGAAGCAUUCUGAGUUCAUUAGUUACCCAAUUUCUCUAUGGAUUGAGAAGACUAUUGAAAAGGAGAUUUCUGAUGAUGAAGACGAGGAAGAUAAGAAGGACGAGGAGGGCAAAGUAGAGGAAGUUGAUGAAGAGAAGGAGAAAGAGGAGAAAAAGAAGAAGACUAUUAAGGAGGUGUCUCAUGAAUGGGAUUUGGUUAACAAGCAAAAGCCUAUCUGGAUGAGGAAGCCUGAAGAGAUUGGAAAGGAAGAAUACUCUGCUUUCUACAAGAGUCUUACUAAUGAUUGGGAAGAGCAUUUGGCUGUCAAGCACUUCUCUGUUGAGGGUCAACUUGAGUUUAAGGCUGUUCUCUUUGUACCCAAGAGAGCACCCUUUGACCUUUUUGACACCAAGAAGAAGCCCAACAACAUUAAGCUCUAUGUUCGCAGGGUCUUUAUCAUGGACAACUGUGAAGAGUUGAUUCCUGAGUAUCUUGCCUUUGUUAAGGGUAUUGUUGAUUCUGAGGAUCUUCCUCUCAACAUUUCAAGGGAAACAUUGCAGCAGAACAAGAUCUUGAAGGUCAUCCGCAAGAACUUGGUUAAGAAGUGCCUUGAACUUUUCUUUGAAAUUGCUGAGAACAAGGAGGAUUACAACAAGUUUUAUGAAGCUUUCUCUAAGAAUUUGAAGCUUGGUAUCCAUGAGGAUUCUCAGAACAAGGGAAAGAUUGCUGAACUUCUCAGGUACCACUCCACCAAGAGUGGUGAUGAGCAGACCAGUCUUAAGGAUUACGUCACAAGGAUGAAGGAAGGCCAGAGUGACAUCUACUACAUUACUGGUGAAAGUAAGAAGGCUGUUGAGAAUUCUCCAUUCUUGGAGAAGUUGAAGAAGAAGGGAUAUGAAGUUCUAUAUAUGGUUGAUGCUAUUGAUGAGUAUGCUGUUGGUCAACUCAAGGAAUUUGAGGGAAAGAAGUUGGUAUCUGCUACCAAGGAAGGUUUGAAGCUUGAAGAAACUGAGGAUGAGAAGAAGAAACAGGAAGAAUCAAAGGAGAAGUUUGACAAUCUUUGCAAGGUGAUUAAGGAGGUUUUGGGUGACAAGGUUGAGAAGGUUAUUGUUUCAGACC
Molecule: long non-coding RNA, 34194 nt
Filed under: Lathyrus oleraceus (garden pea)
Lineage: Eukaryota; Viridiplantae; Streptophyta; Magnoliopsida; Fabales; Fabaceae
Description: Pisum sativum (pea) long non-coding RNA (PSAT_LNC019984)
Source: RNAcentral